CCCGGACAGCUCGUUAAAGGCUACACGGGGGAUGUUUGUCUCUGCUUGGGUCAGGUUUGACUCCAGUUUGCUCCCAACAUGGGCGGGCAGAGCAGGGGGCGAGGGGACAGGUGAGGCUGGAGAUCUGGUCCAGGUGUGAGACUCUGAAUAAGAUACAGCGGCGUGAGGGGAGGGGUUGUGGAGGUGAGCGGUGCGAUCCGGGUGAGGUGAGGCUUCCACGAGGAGUCUCUGAGUCGAACGGCCAUGAGAGGCAUCUCCUUCCUCGCGUGCGUUUUCGGGGAACAGGUGGCUGACCACCCCGGUUCCAGGUUCAAGCGGAUCACCGCAACUCCGCCUUCUCCUCCACCUCUCCAGCCAGAUUCGCGAGGCGCGCAGACCUCGGCUGUGGUGCACGUGCAGGCCGUCGUGGACCCUCUGAGCGGUGCCGCGAUGCUGGUGGAGCGCGUGGCGCCUGGUGUGGAGCGCGUGACCGGCCCUUGGCGCGAGCACAGACAGUCCACAUCAUAGACUGUAUACUCUGGAAGUCCACAGUGAUUAUAAACUAACAAGGCGCAAUGUAGAUUUUUUCUACUGACAAUCCACAUUAUAUACUGGAAACACAGUCCAUAUAGACUAUACACUGGAGUCCAUAUUGUAGACCGGUACACAAUGACAGUCUGCACUUUAGGUGAAUCCAACAUGCCAAGUGUACAGUAUUACUGAUUAAGCCAGCGCACAUAGCUGGUGAUGGAGUGCAAUCUCAUAAAGUUUUAACUGGGCUUCACUUGCGCUCUGAGCUUUUUUUAUUGUUGUUUCUAUUCUGAAAAGAGCCCGGUACAGAGCACGAGCAAUACAAACGGAAGGGGACACAAUACCCGUGGGCUUAAGCAUAAAACGCUGCUCUCGGGUUGGGGGGAAAGGGAGAGAAAAUGGGUUCACCACCCCACUUGCGUAAGAACUGCGAGCAGGAGCAUGGACUUUUCAUAAUGGGAAGGGAAGGGAAAAUGAGCAAAAAUAA
Long non-coding RNA from Lethenteron reissneri (Far Eastern brook lamprey), 997 nucleotides. RefSeq lists it as uncharacterized. The record is from RefSeq and is a predicted model, not a curated record. Lineage: Eukaryota; Metazoa; Chordata; Hyperoartia; Petromyzontiformes; Petromyzontidae.